CCUACGGGUGGCAGCAGUGGGGGAUAUUGGACAAUGGGGGGAACCCUGAUCCAGCGACGCCGCGUGAGUGAAGAAGUAUUUCGGUAUGUAAAGCUCUGUCAGCAGGGAAGAAAGAAAUGACGGUACCUGACCAAGAAGCCCCGGCUAACUACGUGCCAGCAGCCGCGGUAAUACGUAGGAUGCGAGCGUUAUCCGGAUUUAUUGGGUUUAAAGGGUGCGUAGGCGGACGGUCAAGUCAGCGGUAAAAAUGCGGUGCUCAACGCCGUACAGCCGUUGAAACUGGCAGUCUUGAGUGGGCGAGAAGUAUGCGGAAUGCGUGGUGUAGCGGUGAAAUGCAUAGAUAUCACGCAGAACUCCGAUUGCGAAGGCAGCAUACCGGCGCCCUACUGACGCUGAGGCACGAAAGCGUGGGUAUCGAACAGGAUUAGAUACCCUUGUAGUC
RNAcentral lists this ribosomal RNA (442 nucleotides) under uncultured bacterium. RNAcentral describes it as "partial 16S ribosomal RNA". It matches the Rfam family "Bacterial small subunit ribosomal RNA", at positions 338 to 795 of the family's 1533-position model. The record is from RNAcentral.